Ribosomal RNA from Hucho hucho (huchen), 102 nucleotides. The record is from Ensembl. Lineage: Eukaryota; Metazoa; Chordata; Actinopteri; Salmoniformes; Salmonidae.
UCCAGCAGCAUACCGCCCUGCAUCCCACUGCUGGCUUGCUUCUGAAGGUAAGCAGGGUUGGUCCUGGUCAGUCCCUGGCGGUGAGACCAGAUGCUGCUGGAA